Long non-coding RNA from Mercenaria mercenaria, 247 nucleotides. RefSeq lists it as uncharacterized. The record is from RefSeq and is a predicted model, not a curated record. Lineage: Eukaryota; Metazoa; Mollusca; Bivalvia; Venerida; Veneridae. The transcript has 2 exons.
AGGUAAAAUACACAUCAGAGGAAAUACAACUAAUGGCAGAGCUUUUGCGAAAUGACGCUUUGCGCGAGAAGAGAGAAAAGGCCGCAAAACAUUCUGGAGUCCGAGCUUAAACAGGGACUCCCGCGAAGUCGUAAAUCGAUUUUGGAUGCUGAAAUUGCGCAUUGGAUCUUUACGACAGGCGUAAACUCGGACUAGUUUUUUAAUACUAUCUCUAAAGACACAAUAAAGCUUUUAUGUAUAAUUUUCA